Tachyglossus aculeatus (Australian echidna) is the source of this 138-nucleotide small nucleolar RNA. The record is from RefSeq and is a predicted model, not a curated record. Lineage: Eukaryota; Metazoa; Chordata; Mammalia; Monotremata; Tachyglossidae.
UCCCUCUCAGGGUCACACCUGGAGGGUUUCGAGUACUCUACCAGUCUUGAUUAUGGGAGGGAGAGUCAAGCAGAAGCAUAUCCAUUCCAUUCCUAGCAUGAGCAGUGACUAGAAAAUGGAAGGCGAUCUGCUCCAAGU